Molecule: ribosomal RNA, 497 nt
Filed under: uncultured bacterium
Lineage: Bacteria
Description: partial 16S ribosomal RNA
Rfam family: Bacterial small subunit ribosomal RNA
Source: RNAcentral
GAUGAACGCUGCCGGCGCGCCCUAUAUAUGCCAGUCUAGCGAACAGACGCGGCGCUUUCUCCCUUGACGUUCGUCGCCGACGGGUGAGUACCCCGUGGAUCCCCUACCUUUAAGACUGGGAUCCCUUCGCGACCCCGGAGCUACUCCCCAAUAAUAUAUUGACCCUCAUGGUUCAAUAGUGAAAGACGGUUUUGCUGUCACUUAUAGACGUAUCCUCGCCGCAUUAGCUAGUUGGUAAGGUACCGGCUUACCAAGGCAACGAUGCGUAGCCGACCUGAGAGGGUGACCGGCCACACUGGAACUGAGACACGGUCCACACUCCUACGGGAGGCAGCAGUCGGAGAUCUUCCGCAAGGAGCGAAAGCCUGACGGAGCAACACCGGGUGUGUGAUGAAGGUGUUGGGAUCGUAAACCUCUGUUGUUAGGGGAGAACAAAUGUGUAAGUUAGUAUGCACGUCUUGACGGUACCUAAUCAGAAAGCCACGGCUAACUACAUG